AUUUUAACAAUAAGGUAAGUGCUAAAAUUGGAACAAUCUGGAGAUUAGCAUGGACCCCACGCAAGGAUGAUGCUGAAAUUUGUGAAGCGUUCCAUACUUGG
Molecule: small nuclear RNA, 101 nt
Organism: Equus caballus (horse)
Lineage: Eukaryota; Metazoa; Chordata; Mammalia; Perissodactyla; Equidae
Source: Ensembl